AACAGGUCGGUCCAUAUAACUACAGGUUUAAACAGGUCGGUCCAUAUAACUACAGGUUUAAACAGGUCGGUCCAUAUAACUACAGGUUUAAACAGGUCGGUCUAUAUAACUACAGGUUUAAACAGGUCGGUCUAUAUAACUACAGGUUUAAACAGGUCGGUCCAUAUAACUACAGGUUUAAACAGGUCGGUCCAUAUAACUACAGGUUUAAACAGGUCGGUCUAUAUAACUACAGGUUUAAACAGGUCAGUCCAUAUAACUACAGGUUUAAACAGGUCGGUCCAUAUAACUACAGGUUUAAACAGGUCAGUCUAUAUAACUACAGGUUCAAACAGGUCGGUCCAUAUAACUUCAGGUUCAAACAGGUCGGUCUAUAUAACUACAGGUUUAAACAGGACGGUCUAUAUAACUAUUGACUGUUGAAGGAUUAAACAGGCAGAUCCAUGUAAGGGCGGUCAGGUGGGAAAUUACUGGGAGGAAAAGGAGCUCAGACAACAUGUGGUAUAUGGAGGGUUACAACCUGACGUGAGAGAAAGAGAGUGAGAUAUUGCAGCCUAAGGAUAUGAUCAGGAGAAAGAAGAGAGAUGGGCAGAGCUCCGGUUUAUCAGUCUCACCUGAAGAUUUAUUCCUCAUCAGACGGAUCAGAACCUCGGUCGGGUCAAUCCCCUGGUCCUGGAGCUGGGCGCGG
This is a long non-coding RNA of Esox lucius (northern pike), 688 nucleotides long. Lineage: Eukaryota; Metazoa; Chordata; Actinopteri; Esociformes; Esocidae. The record is from Ensembl.